AGAAGCAGAAUCCUCGAGCCCCCCUUCCACUCCGGUCUCUCAAGAUUCAGACCCCACAAGCCCCCCUUCCACUGCGGUCUCUCAAGCAGGCAGUCCACUCCCCGAGGAGCUCCACCUGAUCUCUCACA
Long non-coding RNA from Acipenser ruthenus (sterlet), 128 nucleotides. RefSeq lists it as uncharacterized. Lineage: Eukaryota; Metazoa; Chordata; Actinopteri; Acipenseriformes; Acipenseridae. The transcript has 3 exons. The record is from RefSeq and is a predicted model, not a curated record.